GUUUGACCUCGGAUCAGGUAGGGAUACCCGCUGAACUUAAGCAA
This 44-nucleotide ribosomal RNA is filed under the name foliar endophyte of Picea glauca sp. M6. Its description in RNAcentral is "partial 28S ribosomal RNA". The record is from RNAcentral. Lineage: Eukaryota; Fungi; Ascomycota.